RNAcentral lists this ribosomal RNA (299 nucleotides) under uncultured bacterium. Its description in RNAcentral is "partial 16S ribosomal RNA". It matches the Rfam family "Bacterial small subunit ribosomal RNA", at positions 338 to 655 of the family's 1533-position model. The record is from RNAcentral.
CCUACGGGACGCAGCAGUGGGGGAUAUUGCACAAUGGGGGGAACCCUGAUGCAGCGACGCCGCGUGGGUGAAGAAGCGCCUCGGCGCGUAAAGCCCUGUCAGCAGGGAAGAAAAUGACGGUACCUGAAGAAGAAGCCCCGGCUAACUACGUGCCAGCAGCCGCGGUAAUACGUAGGGGGCAAGCGUUAUCCGGAUUUACUGGGUGUAAAGGGUGCGUAGGCGGUCGAUUAAGUCUGGAGUGAAAGGUACCGGCUCAACCGGUAUAGGCUCCGGAAACUGAUGGACUGGAGUACAGGAGA